AGAUCAGCCUACACUGGCCUACACUGGUGACAGAGCAAUUACACUGCCAAAAUCUCUGCUCUUCAAACUUAGGCACUGCAGCAGAAAAGUAGGAACAUGUGAUUUACUCACUUAGGUAAAUGGUGUUAUCAACAGCCUGAACAGGUCUAGCUCUCUUAGCAUAUCCUCAGAGGAGAGAUGGUCCAUUAACCUGCUGAUUUUGCUGGCCCUUGGUUUGACUUCUGGGAAGGAUGUCCUCUCUUGACAUGAUGACAAAAAGAUUAUUGAAGCUACCUAAGUGAAGUUCAGAAAUUGAUAAUCAACAGUUUCCUGUGACUAGCCAUGAAACCCCUGCAAUGGAAAAAAUCUCAGUGGAGAUGGGCCAGCACAAUGUGCCCAUGAAGCUCAGAGAAUAAAACAGAGUGUGACUGACCAGAGCUGUUGCAAAGAAGAUAAUUUCACCUUAACACAAAAGGGAUUGAGUUACAGUUAUUAAGAACAGCUAUGUCAGUUGGGUAUAACAACCGACUAUACUGCAGCUGAGUGAAUCAACUGGUAAUGUAAAUAUUUAUUCCAGAGUUUGUUAAAAGACUGUGGAUGUCCCCCUCACUUAGCCAGAUUAGUAUGGGAUAAGUGAAUACACGUCUUAGACUAACAAAGUAUAAAAAACUGGAGAAAAAAAUAAUAAGAAGAAGAAAGAGCAAUGAGUUUAAGCUGGCUUUAAGCCAUGCAUUCCUUCCCAGCAACUGGAGAUGCUCAGUACAUGGUAAGAACAUUACAGACACUAGAAACAGGAGUCAUGUUGGUAUUAUGAUUGAAUUACAUAUUCCAAUUUCUAGAUUUUUAUAAAUGUAACUUACAUUUGUACUGUGAUUUCACAAUUUUCAUUUUGUAUUACUCUGCUAAAGCAAAAAUCCCAUGUAAAAUCACAUAUAUUCAAAUAAGUAAGUUAGAUAUUAAACGUUACACCAUACAUACAUGGAAUAUUUAAAUAACUUUGUCAUAGAAUAUUGAAUUUUUAUUUAUUUAUUUAUUUAUUAUUUUUGUUUUGAUUGAAUAUCCUGUGAUUUAUUUUGGCUUUAAGAAUAACAGAUAAAAUCUUUCUGG
Molecule: long non-coding RNA, 1086 nt
Organism: Gallus gallus (chicken)
Lineage: Eukaryota; Metazoa; Chordata; Aves; Galliformes; Phasianidae
Source: Ensembl